GGGCCUGUAGCUCAGCUGGGAGAGCGCCUCGUUCGCAAUGAGGAGGUCGACAGUUCGAUCCUGUUCAGGUCCACCA
This 76-nucleotide transfer RNA is filed under the name Holophagaceae bacterium. Its description in RNAcentral is "tRNA-Ala". It matches the Rfam family "tRNA". Rfam says of the family: Transfer RNA (tRNA) molecules are approximately 80 nucleotides in length. RNAcentral also lists the same sequence under 3 other names. The record is from RNAcentral. Lineage: Bacteria; Pseudomonadati; Acidobacteriota; Holophagae; Holophagales; Holophagaceae.